RNAcentral lists this ribosomal RNA (521 nucleotides) under uncultured archaeon. RNAcentral's name for it is "bacterial SSU rRNA". It matches the Rfam family "Archaeal small subunit ribosomal RNA", at positions 478 to 997 of the family's 1478-position model. The record is from RNAcentral.
GGCGGCCCGAGUGGUGAUCGUGAUUAUUGGGUCUAAAGGGUCCGUAGCCGGUUUGGUCAGUCCUCCGGGAAAUCUGAUAGCUCAACUAUUAGGCUUUCGGGGGAUACUGCCAGACUUGGAACCGGGAGAGGUAAGAGGUACUACAGGGGUAGGAGUGAAAUCUUGUAAUCCCUGUGGGACCACCUGUGGCGAAGGCGUCUUACCAGAACGGGUUCGACGGUGAGGGACGAAAGCUGGGGGCACGAACCGGAUUAGAUACCCGGGUAGUCCCAGCCGUAAACGAUGCUCGCUAGGUGUCAGGCAUGGCGCGACCGUGUCUGGUGCCGCAGGGAAGCCGUGAAGCGAGCCACCUGGGAAGUACGGCCGCAAGGCUGAAACUUAAAGGAAUUGGCGGGGGAGCACAACAACGGGUGGAAGCCUGCGGUUUAAUUGGACUCAACGCCGGACAACUCACCGGGGGCGACAGCAAUAUGUAGGCCAAGCUGAAGACUUUGCCUGAAUCGCUGAGAAGAGGUGCAUGG